RNAcentral lists this ribosomal RNA (478 nucleotides) under uncultured bacterium. Its description in RNAcentral is "partial 16S ribosomal RNA". It matches the Rfam family "Bacterial small subunit ribosomal RNA", at positions 28 to 523 of the family's 1533-position model. The record is from RNAcentral.
GACGAACGCUGGCGGCGUGCUUAACACAUGCAAGUCGAACGGUAAGGCCCUUCGGGGUACACGAGUGGCGAACGGGUGAGUAACACGUGGGUGAUCUGCCCUGCACUUCGGGAUAAGCCUGGGAAACUGGGUCUAAUACCGGAUAGGACCACUGCCUGCAUGGGUGGUGGUGGAAAGCUUCUGCGGUGUGGGAUGGGCCCGCGGCCUAUCAGCUUGUUGGUGGGGUGAUGGCCUACCCAGGCGACGACGGGUAGCCGGCCUGAGAGGGUGACCGGCCACACUGGGACUGGGGUACGGCCCAGACUCCUACGAGAGGCAGCAGUGGGGAAUAUUGCACAAUGGGCGCAGGCCUGAUGCAGCGACGCCGCGUGAGGGAUGACGGCCUUCGGGUUGUAAACCUCUUUCAGCACCGACGAAGCGCAAGUGACGGUAGGUGCAGAAGAAGGACCGGCCAACUACGUGCCAGCAGCCGCAGUAA